GACGGAGGAGGCUAGCGUUAUCCGGAAUUAUUGGGCGUAAAGGGUACGUAGGCGGCUGGUCAAGUCCGGGGUCAAAGGCCACAGCUCAACUGUGGGAAGGCCCUGGAAACUGACCGGCUAGAGUGAGGUAGGGGUUGCGGGAAUUCCCGGUGUAGCGGUGAAAUGCGUAGAGAUCGGGAAGAACACCUGAGGCGGAAGCGCGCAACUGGGCGUCAACUGACGCUGAGGUACGAAAGCUAGGGGAGCGAAUGGG
This 253-nucleotide ribosomal RNA is filed under the name uncultured bacterium. RNAcentral describes it as "partial 16S ribosomal RNA". It matches the Rfam family "Bacterial small subunit ribosomal RNA", at positions 524 to 776 of the family's 1533-position model. The record is from RNAcentral.